UUGCGGGGCCGGCCCUUGCGGGUGAAGGCCAUGUACCAGCCUUCGUACUUGGCGUUCUGCAGGGCCGUGUAGUUGUUCUCCAGCACGAUCUCCGUGAACACGCAGUCCUUGCCCUUGCCGUUGCUCUGCAGAUGUAGAGGCCAGUCUCAGCUCCUCGGACUCGAACACGGCUCCCAAAGUGACAGAUUUAUCCCGGGAAAAUUAUGUCUCCUUCUCCAGCUUUGAAGGGAAGUCAGCUACGUCGAUGCAGAAAAAAUGCAGUGAGACAUACUCGAUCCCCCAAACUGGCUCGAGAAGAGGAGAAAGCAUUCAGGAAAUGUUAAAAAAGGUGAAAGUAAGAAGAGUUUUAAUCGCUCUGCCAGACGCGGGGGUCUCUCCAGAGAUUCAUAGAGAACAAUCUUGAACCUCUUUUUUAACAUUUACAGACUUGCAACUCCUUUCAAACUCCACAUCUGAAAAAAGGCUCGUUCUUUUUCUGUUUUAUAUCAUUCUUCAUUUUUCUUCUUAGCUCUUAAAAUGCCUCACCUUUUUAUUACAUUUUAAUAGAG
Molecule: long non-coding RNA, 548 nt
Organism: Zalophus californianus (California sea lion)
Lineage: Eukaryota; Metazoa; Chordata; Mammalia; Carnivora; Otariidae
Exons: 3
Source: RefSeq, a predicted model, not a curated record